This is a long non-coding RNA of Suricata suricatta (meerkat), 559 nucleotides long. RefSeq lists it as uncharacterized. The record is from RefSeq and is a predicted model, not a curated record. NCBI's taxonomy places the organism in Eukaryota, Metazoa, Chordata, Mammalia, Carnivora, Herpestidae. The transcript is spliced from 2 exons.
CUUAAUUGACGGAGCCACCCAGGAACCCUGCUUUCACUUUAAAUCGAGAAGGAAGGACCAUCAUGCAAAAAGGUAGCAGCCUAUGGAAGAAAAGCCGCCUCUGAAAUCCCAGAUGCUAGGCCACUGGUGCUGGCAUCCCAAACCCUACUAACAAUGAACCCUGCACCUCCAUCCAUGGGAUUUAGCCAAGGUCCUCCUGUCCCCCAGGAUCCAGUGGAGCCAAAAGGCAGAUCUAGCAUCGGACUAUUCCUUGCCUUUUGAUACACUGUCCAAGUCAGCCCCAUUAGAACUCCCAACUCCUGAGAUUUUGGUGAAAAGACAUUCUUUUUUUCCUGGGAAUGCUGAUGAAGUAAGUCUAAACAAAGCUUCCGCAAGGCUUGCAGCUGCCAUGUGGGCAAAGCCUGGGUGAGAAUGAAGUCCAUGCAGAGAAAAACAGAGCCAAGUGGUAGGCAAGAGAGAAACACAAAUCUGAUGACAUUGGUUGAACGUCUGGUUGUCUACAGCAAGUUUUACCCUUGCGUUUUCAAGUUGUAUGAGCCAAUACAUCAACUUUUGUUUA